This 390-nucleotide unclassified non-coding RNA is filed under the name soil metagenome. RNAcentral's name for it is "partial contains 5.8S ribosomal RNA, internal transcribed spacer 2, and large subunit ribosomal RNA". The stretch from base 1 to 122 matches the Rfam family "5.8S ribosomal RNA", at positions 35 to 154 of the family's 154-position model. The record is from RNAcentral.
GAUGAAGAACGCAGCGAAAUGCGAUACUUGGUGUGAAUUGCAGAAUCCCGCGAAUCAUCGAGUUUUUGAACGCAAGUUGCGCCCGAAGCCAUUCGGCCGAGGGCACGUCUGCCUGGGUGUCACGCAUCGUUGCCCCCCCAAACUCCGGUUCGGGCGGGGCGGAAGUUGGCCUCCCGUGCGUGCCUGCGCGCGCGGUUAGCCCAAAAGCGAGUCCUCGGCGAUGAGCGCCACGCCAAUCGGUGGUUUUUUUACCCUCGUUCCUCGUCGUGCGUGCCCCGUCGCCCGAACGCGCUCUUGCAACCCUUACGCGUCGCCUCGGUGGCGCUCCCAACGCGACCCCAGGUCAGGCGGGACUACCCGCUGAGUUUAAGCAUAUCAAUAAGCGGAGGA